GGUCAAGUGAAGAAGCGCAUACGGUGGAUGCCUUGGCAGUCAGAGGCGAUGAAAGACGUGAUAGCCUGCGAUAAGCUUCGGUGAGGUGGCAAAUGACCUGUGACCCGGAGAUCUCUGAAUGGGGGAACCCACCUAGCAUAAGCUAGGUAUCUUAACCUGAAUCCAUAGGGUUAAGAGGCGAACCAGGGGAACUGAAACAUCUAAGUACCCUGAGGAAAAGAAAUCAACCGAGAUUCCCUUAGUAGUGGCGAGCGAACGGGGACCAGCCCUUAAGU
Molecule: non-coding RNA, 275 nt
Filed under: Corchorus olitorius
Lineage: Eukaryota; Viridiplantae; Streptophyta; Magnoliopsida; Malvales; Malvaceae
Description: Bacterial large subunit ribosomal RNA
Rfam family: Bacterial large subunit ribosomal RNA
Source: Rfam by way of RNAcentral